RNAcentral lists this ribosomal RNA (786 nucleotides) under Triticum aestivum (bread wheat). Its description in RNAcentral is "partial small subunit ribosomal RNA". Lineage: Eukaryota; Viridiplantae; Streptophyta; Magnoliopsida; Poales; Poaceae. The record is from RNAcentral.
AUGAAUAUCCUCAGUUGGAACUGCCGAGGAGGUGGGAACCCUCGGGCAGUUCAUGAUCUCGUGAGUCUAGUACAGGCUCACUCCCCUAGUGUCGUUUUUCUUUGUGAAAUUAGGCAGUCGAAAAAUAAAAUGAAGAGAUAUCGUGCUCGGUUAGGUCUUAGUGGUUUUGAUGCUUUUGAUAGUGUUGGUCUUAGUGGUGGUCUUGCCUUGUUUUCGCACAAGUCAUCGAGUCUUGAUGUAAAAACAAUAAAUGAAAGAUAUAUCGAUGCGCAUGUGAAUGGUGUGGCAGGUGAGCCACCCUGGAGGCUUACUUGCGUCUACGGCGAACCCUGUAUGGAGGACCGUCAUCGCAUGUGGUCAUCCCUACGGGAUCUUCAUCAACAUACCGACAUGCCGUGGGUUGUCAUUGGCGAUUUUAAUGAAGCCAUGUGGAGUUUUGAACACUUCUCCGAAACCCCACGUGGGGCGGGUCAGAUGAUUGAUUUUCGUGAUGUUCUUGAAGUUUGUGGGUUGGGAGACCUUGUUUUUGCAGGGCUUCCUUACACGUAUGAAAAUCGCCGAGGAGGGCGGGCGAACAUCAAGGUUCGCCUUGACCGUGUUGUGGCAAACAACUGCUGGAGAGAUAUUUUUGGUCAUGCCAAGGUGGAGCACGUCGUGGCCCCUAGCUCUGACCACCUUCCCAUUCUGCUUUGGUGCGCCUUGGAGGAGCCAGUGCAGAUAUCGGGGAGGAGAUGCCGCCAGUAUGAGGUUAUGUGGGAGAGAGAUCAUACUCUCCGAGAGGUAUAA